Molecule: non-coding RNA, 394 nt
Organism: Bellilinea caldifistulae
Lineage: Bacteria; Bacillati; Chloroflexota; Anaerolineae; Anaerolineales; Anaerolineaceae
Rfam family: transfer-messenger RNA
About the family: Bacterial tmRNA, also known as 10Sa RNA or SsrA, is named for its dual tRNA and mRNA-like properties. Its role is to liberate the mRNA from a stalled ribosome. To accomplish this part of the tmRNA is used as a reading frame that ends in a translation stop signal.
Source: Rfam
GGGGAUGAACGGUCUCGACGGGAGAGGCUGAUCCCGGACUGCGAGCCGAGAGGUGCGGACCUCGUAAAAUCAGCACAAAAAAUAAGUGCCAAUCGCACAAACUACGCUGCUCUUCCUCUGGCUGCCUAAGCCGAGCUGAGCGCAAAUGGUCUCCUCGUGAGGCCACGUCUGUCUGCUCCGCUGCCUGACCGGUAGCAGAACAGGCGUGACAAAGUCAGGCUGCCGCAUUCUUCGCCGUGCAGAAUGCGAAAGAGGACUUUCGGGUCCGAGCGGCUGGCGGUGGAUGUGUUCUGUUGGUCAGCGCAUCCACCGUGAGAACAAAGACCAACUACGCUCGUAGAGGUUCGUGGGUCUAAUCUUUCGGACGCGGGUUCGAUUCCCGCCAUCUCCACCU